Molecule: ribosomal RNA, 292 nt
Filed under: uncultured bacterium
Lineage: Bacteria
Description: partial 16S ribosomal RNA
Rfam family: Bacterial small subunit ribosomal RNA
Source: RNAcentral
GUGCCAGCCGCCGCGGUAAUACGGGGGGGGCAAGCGUUGUUCGGAAUUACUGGGCGUAAAGGGCUCGUAGGUGGCCAACUCAGUCGGACGUGAAAUCCCUCGGCUUAACCGGGGAACUGCGUCCGAUACUGGAUGGCUUGAGAUCGGGAGAGGGAUGCGGAAUUCCAGGUGUAGCGGUGAAAUGCGUAGAUAUCUGGAGGAACACCGGUGGCGAAGGCGGCAUCCUGGACCGACACUGACACUGAGGAGCGAAAGCCAGGGGAGCAAACGGGAUUAGAAACCCCGGUAGUCC